CGAGCAAUCUGCCCUUCUCAUCGGAAUAAGCGUUGGAAACGACGUCUAAUGCCGAAUACGACCUCCUUUCGCAUGAUCGGAGGUGGAAAGCUCCGGCGGAGAAGGAUGAGCUCGCGGCCUAUCAGCUAGUUGGUGUGGGUAAUGGCCCACCAAGGCGACGACGGGUAGCCGGCCUGAGAGGGUGACCGGCCACACUGGGACUGAGACACGGCCCAGACUCCUACGGGAGCAG
This 232-nucleotide ribosomal RNA is filed under the name uncultured bacterium. RNAcentral's name for it is "partial 16S ribosomal RNA". It matches the Rfam family "Bacterial small subunit ribosomal RNA", at positions 118 to 347 of the family's 1533-position model. The record is from RNAcentral.